GACGAACGCUGGCGGCGUGCCUAAUACAUGCAAGUCGAACGCAGUGGGGACGGUUUAGUAACACGUGGGUAACCUCCCAUCAGAGGGGAUAACACUUGGCUACAGGUGCUUAACCGAUACUGAUGGAUGGACCCGCGGUGCUUUAGCCAGUUGGUGGGGUAACGGCUCACCAAGGCCACGAUGCAUAGCCGGCCUGAGAGGGUGAUCAGCCACACUGGGACUGAGACACGGCCCAGACUCCUACGGGAGGCAGCAGUGGGGAAUCUUCGGCAAUGGGCGAAAGUCUGACCGAGCAACGCCGCGUGAGUGAAGAAGGUUUUCGGAUCGUAAAGCUCUGUUGUUAGAGAAGCGGUAUCUAACGAGAAAGCCACGGCUAACUACGUGCCAGCAGCCGCGGUAAUAC
This 403-nucleotide ribosomal RNA is filed under the name uncultured bacterium. RNAcentral describes it as "partial 16S ribosomal RNA". It matches the Rfam family "Bacterial small subunit ribosomal RNA", at positions 28 to 526 of the family's 1533-position model. The record is from RNAcentral.